GAUGAACGCUGACAGAAUGCUUAACACAUGCAAGUCGAUGGGGAAGUGGGGCUUGCACCAUGGUAACCAUGGGGGACGGGUGAGUAACGCGUAAGGAACUUACCUGCGGGACCGGGAUAACAGCAGGAAACUGCUGACAAGACCGGAUAAGGCCAUUAAGCUGCAUAGCUUAGUGAUGAAAGGAGACGCCUGCUGAGAGCCUUGCGUCCGAUUAGCGAGUUGGAGGGGUAACGGCCCACCAAGGCGAAGAUAGGUAGCCCGCCUGAGAGGGUGGACGGUCACAAGGCGUAUGAGAUGCGGCACUUACUCCUACGGGAGACAGCGGUGAAGAAUAUUGGACCAUGGGCGCGACCCUGAUGCAGCACUUCUGUGUGCACGAAGACGGUUUUCGGAUUGUAAAGUGCUUUCAGCAGGGAAGAAGGAUGUGACGGUACCUGCAGAAGAAGCGACGGCUAAAUACGUG
Molecule: ribosomal RNA, 463 nt
Filed under: uncultured bacterium
Lineage: Bacteria
Description: partial 16S ribosomal RNA
Rfam family: Bacterial small subunit ribosomal RNA
Source: RNAcentral